RNAcentral lists this long non-coding RNA (698 nucleotides) under Olea europaea subsp. europaea. Lineage: Eukaryota; Viridiplantae; Streptophyta; Magnoliopsida; Lamiales; Oleaceae. The record is from RNAcentral.
CAAAGUCAGAGAGCUCUUUCCGCCUCCAGAAUCGAAAAUGGUUGGUCACUUUCUCUCUCCGUGAUCACAUGAAUAUCCUUUUAUAUUUUCUCUGAAUAUGGAUUUUUUUAAUGUAAUUUGUAUAUACAGCCGUCACACAAGACAUUCAUGAUAAAGAAGAAGCUGGCGAAGAAGCAGAGGCAGAACAGGCCAAUUCCGUACUGGAUCAGGCUGCGCACUGACAAUACCAUCCGCUACAAUGCGAAGCGUCGCCAUUGGCGCCGCACGAAGCUCGGCUUCUAAGCCAAGCCCUUACUUGUUAGCGUUCUUACAUUCUGCUUUGGUUUCCCAUUAGGGUUUAAUGUUUUGGAAUUGAAUCAUCAGUAUUGAGAUUGCUAUGUAUUUUAAAUGAUUUUAAUACUUCUAUGUCUUGAAUUAACAUAGAAAUUUGAUUUUGGUAAUUUUGUUCAGUGGUUUCUAUUCUUUCUGUGAUAUAAAUGGUUUGAUUGGUUUCUCACUUCUAGAUGUAGUGAGAGUCUGAACCCACCACAUAGGUUUCUUGGCUGGGUUUGAAUCACUUACCGUGGCUCUUAUACGGAGGGCUCCCUUCCUGAAUGCUAAUUUCUAUAGACAGUGGAUUGACCCCUUAUAUAAUUGAUUGAUUUUGAAAUGUUAGGAUUCUGUCUUUUGCCUUAAUUUAUCUCGCAUGCUGAAUCAAC